RNAcentral lists this ribosomal RNA (494 nucleotides) under uncultured bacterium. RNAcentral describes it as "partial 16S ribosomal RNA". It matches the Rfam family "Bacterial small subunit ribosomal RNA", at positions 28 to 507 of the family's 1533-position model. The record is from RNAcentral.
GACGAACGCUGGCGGCGUGCUUAACACAUGCAAGUCGAACGGAAAGGCCUGCUUUCCCUUGUGGAUUGCGGGUACUCGAGUGGCGAACGGGUGAGUAACACGUGAGUGAUCUGCCCCCAACUUGGGUAUAAGCCUGGGAAACUGGGUCUAAUUCCCGAUAGGACUGCAGGGUGGUGCCGGUGGUGGAAAACGAUUUUCUAGUGGUUGGGGAUGAGCUCGCGGCCUAUCAGCUUGUUGGUGGGGUAAUGGCCUACCAAGGCGGCGACGGGUAGCCGGCCUGAGAGGGUGGACGGCCACAUUGGGACUGGGAUACGGCCCAGACUCCUACGGGAGGCAGCAGUGGGGAAUAUUGCACAAUGGGCGGAAGCCUGAUGCAGCGACGCCGCGUGGGGGAUGACGGCCUUCGGGUUGUAAACUCCUUUCGACCGCGAGGAAGCCACCUGGUUGGAAGGGUGGUGACGGUAGUGGUAGAAGAAGCACCGGCUAACUACGUG